UCAUUUAUUUACUUUAUUUUAUUUUUAAUCAUAUUUUCGUCAGGACUAAAUAUCAUUUGCAAUGUUUGUGUUUUCAGGAUCCUUUUCCCUAACCUUUACAAGAUGCAGAACUUUGAUGACAUGCACGUGGCUUUCAGAGAUGACGCCCAGAGGGAGCGUUACAUAGUUCUCUACCAGCGCCCUAUGGCACCUACACGCUAUCCGGACUAGGAUUGCAUGGAUGCCCUAGGCAUUGAGCCAAGCAUCAGAUUCAUGUGGCACCAACUCCAAUGGGAUGAAUUCGCUGAUGACAUGAACAACACCUACAGGAACCUAAC
Molecule: long non-coding RNA, 317 nt
Filed under: Lathyrus oleraceus (garden pea)
Lineage: Eukaryota; Viridiplantae; Streptophyta; Magnoliopsida; Fabales; Fabaceae
Description: Pisum sativum (pea) long non-coding RNA (PSAT_LNC036999)
Source: RNAcentral